CCGUAGUGGCGCACGGGUGAGUAAUAUAUAGCUAAUAUGCCCCUUGCUGGAGGACAACAGUUAGAACUGACUGCUAAUACUCCAUAGCAAGGGAUGAGACUAUAUAGUAUCAGCUAGUCGGUGGGGUAACGGCCUACCGAGGCUAUGACGCGUAACUGGUAUGAGAGGAUGAUCAGUCACAUUGGAACUGAGAGACGGUCCAAACUCCUACGGGAGGCAGCAGGAGGGAAUAGUGCGAAAUGGGGGAAUCCCUGACGCAGCAACGCCGCGUGGAGGAUGACACUUUUCGGAGCGUAAACUCCUUUGGUUAGGGAAGCGGUACCUAAAGAAUAAGCACCGGCUAACUCCGGGCCAUCAGCCGCGGUAAUUC
Molecule: ribosomal RNA, 370 nt
Filed under: uncultured bacterium
Lineage: Bacteria
Description: partial 16S ribosomal RNA
Rfam family: Bacterial small subunit ribosomal RNA
Source: RNAcentral